This 74-nucleotide transfer RNA is filed under the name Stegodyphus mimosarum. It matches the Rfam family "tRNA". From Rfam's summary of the family: Transfer RNA (tRNA) molecules are approximately 80 nucleotides in length. Their secondary structure includes four short double-helical elements and three loops (D, anti-codon, and T loops). Lineage: Eukaryota; Metazoa; Arthropoda; Arachnida; Araneae; Eresidae. The record is from Rfam by way of RNAcentral.
AUUCUAAUGUUGUAAGUGGUUAGCACAUCCGACUGACAAUUGAAAGAUUCGUGGUUCGAAUCCCGAUGAGAGUA